AAGGAAUUUAACCUCUCUGUGUCUGUUUCCUCAUCUGUGAAACAACUGAGGAAACAAAAGUCCCCCUUAAAAUCCUGUCACUCAGUCCCAUCCGAUCCACAGAUGCAGCUUGAAUGCCUCCUCUCGUGGGUAGAAUUGUUCCUGGGGCUGUGCCUGCUUCCUCCACACCCUCCACUCACCCACCCGCAGGAGUAGGAGGGGUGUGACACAAAUAUGAACAAUCCUUGGCGGGGGGGGGGGGGUGGGGGGGUGAGGUGCGGUUCUUAUCUUUACCUUCUCCCCAGUUAUCUCAACCUAAUUUUACUUCAGGCUGGGAGAUAUCUUGGUCAAACCUCCUGACCCAGCCCUUGACCAGUCUUUUUUCAGAAGUGCCCAGGAUAGGGACUGGUUAGAGAGGGCUGCUGCCAGGACAACAGAAAGCAAACACUGUUGAAGGUGUCAUCAGUUCUGAGGAUGUGCCAGUGUAUGGGCCAACACUCCAGAGAAAGAGCAAAAUCAGAAUUUAAAGGCAGAAGAAUGGAGAAAGAAGAGGCUCCUUGCUUAAGUAAAUGGAACUCCCUAAUACCAAAGUCUAAUAGAUGAUUGAGAUUAACACCUAGUAGGUUAUCAUGAUGAUCAAGAUUACCAUGUUGCUUGUAUUGCCCUUGGUGUGAUCUAUGAUAUGGCACUAAGAAUGGCACUUUACCUCUUUGGUCUUCCUUCCAAAAACCUAGCCAACUCCAGUCUAAUUAUGAGAAAACAUUAGAUAAAUCCCAAUUGAGGCACACUCUACAAAAUACCUGAGGAGUACUACUCAAAACUGUCCAGGUCAUCAAAAACAAGGAAAGCCCGGGGCGCCUGGGUGGCGCAGUCGGUUAAGCGUCCGACUUCAGCCAGGUCACGAUCUUGCGGUCCGUGAGUUCGAGCCCCGUGUCAGGCUCAGGGCUGAUGGCUCGGAGCCUGGAGCCUGUUUCUGAUUCUGUGUCUCCCUCUCUCUCUGCCCCUCCCCCGGUUCAUGCUCUGUCUCUCUCUGUCCCAAAAAUAAAUAAACGUUGAAAAAAAAAAUAAAAAAAAAA
Molecule: long non-coding RNA, 1055 nt
Filed under: Felis catus (domestic cat)
Lineage: Eukaryota; Metazoa; Chordata; Mammalia; Carnivora; Felidae
Description: lncRNA (ENSFCAG00000044645.2)
Source: RNAcentral